Molecule: transfer RNA, 68 nt
Filed under: Marmota monax (woodchuck)
Lineage: Eukaryota; Metazoa; Chordata; Mammalia; Rodentia; Sciuridae
Description: tRNA.Gly
Source: RNAcentral
GGAUUAUAGCUCAGUGGUAGAGCACUUGCCUCCCAUGUGCAAGACCCUGGGUUCGAUCCUCAGCACCA